GAUGAACGCUGGCGGCGUGCCUAAUACAUGCAAGUCGAGCGAGCGGAACUGAAGCUUUCUUCUCUGAUAUUAGCGUCGGACGGGUGAGUAACACUUGGAUAACCUACCUAUAAGACUCUGCUAACUUCUGUAAACCGGCGCUAAUACCGGAUAAUAUUUUCAACCUCAUGGUUCAAAACUGAAAGACAGUCUUGCUGUCACUUAUUGAUGUAUCCGCGCUGCAUUAGCUAGUUGGUAAGGUAAAGGCUUACCAAGGCAACGAUGCAUAGCCGACCUGAGAGGGUGAUCGGCCACACUGGAACUGAGACACGGUCCAAACUCCUACGGGAGGCAGCAGUAGGGAAUCUUCCGCAAUGGGCGAAAGCCUGACGGAGCAACGCCGCGUGAGUGAAGAAGGUUUUCGGAUCGUAAAACUCUGUUAUUAGGGAAGAACAUAUGUGUAAGUAACUGUGCACAACUUGACGGUACCUAACCAGAAAGCCACGGCUAACUACGUG
RNAcentral lists this ribosomal RNA (497 nucleotides) under uncultured bacterium. RNAcentral describes it as "partial 16S ribosomal RNA". It matches the Rfam family "Bacterial small subunit ribosomal RNA", at positions 28 to 507 of the family's 1533-position model. The record is from RNAcentral.